GGCAAACGGGUGAGUAACACGUGGGUUACCUACCUCCAAGAUGGGGAUAACAGUUGGAAACGACUGAUAAUACCGAAUGUGCUCUACGGAGUAAAGAAGCCCUUAAAGCUUCGCUUGGAGAUGGGCCUGCGGCGCAUUAGCUAGUUGGUGAGGUAAUGGCCCACCAAGGCGACGAUGCGUAGCCGAACUGAGAGGUUGAUCGGCCACAUUGGGACUGAGACACGGCCCAGACUCCUACGGGAGACAGCAGUUAGGAAUAUUCGUCAAUGGGGGAAACCCUGAACGAGCAAUGCCGCGUGAGUGAUGACGGUCCUCUGGAUUGUAAAACUCUGUUGUUUAGGAAAAACUGUACAUACAGGAAAUGGUAUGUAAUUGAUGGUACUAUUC
Molecule: ribosomal RNA, 387 nt
Filed under: uncultured bacterium
Lineage: Bacteria
Description: bacterial SSU rRNA
Rfam family: Bacterial small subunit ribosomal RNA
Source: RNAcentral